Molecule: ribosomal RNA, 245 nt
Filed under: uncultured archaeon
Lineage: Archaea
Description: partial 16S ribosomal RNA
Rfam family: Archaeal small subunit ribosomal RNA
Source: RNAcentral
UACCGGCGGCUCGAGUGGUGGCCGGUAUUAUUGAGUCUAAGGGUCCGUAGCCGGCUUCGCAAGUCCUUCGGGAAAUCCAGCGGCUUAACCGUUGGUCGUCCGGGGGCUACUACGUUGCUUGGGACUGGGAGAGGCGAGAGGUACUCAGGGGGUAGGAGUGAAAUCCUGUAAUCCUUUGGGGACCACCGGUGGCGAAGGCGUCUCGCCAGAACAGGUCCGACGGUGAGGGACGAAAGCUAGGGGCA